GCCAGCAUGGCAUAAUGGAUUAAGUGUUGGACUAUAACUCUGGAGACCAGGGUUCGAUUCCCAGCUCAACCA
Phrynosoma platyrhinos (Desert horned lizard) is the source of this 72-nucleotide non-coding RNA. The record is from the annotation of a GenBank genome assembly. NCBI's taxonomy places the organism in Eukaryota, Metazoa, Chordata, Lepidosauria, Squamata, Phrynosomatidae.